UUAAAGUGAUUGCUUAUUCAUCCCCAGCUUCAUAUAUAUACUAGUGUAGAGACCCGCGCGAUACAGCGGGUAGAUAAUAUAAGCAAAAUUUAAAAAUUUUAAUAAAAUUUAUAUUUACAGGUUAUUGAUAUAUAGAAAACUAUACAAUGUUAAGUACAACCAAUUUGCAUGACUAAAUUUAACUAUUAAAAAAAUAAAUUAUAGCUAGAAUCCACUUAUUGAUAAAAUAUUAAUAUGGUGCAUGUAAUUAAUUGUUGCACUUUAAUUAUAUAUAAUUAGAGGAGUGGGGAGGUGAAGGGUUGGGCGUUGAGAAGAAGAGAAGGUGGUUUGAUUUAAAAUUGGGCUAUAAGAAUGAAGGGUAACAUGUUACGUGAUAAAAAAAUUUUUAUGGUGCAUACAAAAGAGUUACAAAAGAGAGGGGGUGGGAGAUUAAUGGAGAAAGGAAUUGAUUAAAGUUAUAAAGCUCACUCAUUGACAGAAUAUUAAUAUGGUGGUGCAUAUAAUUAAAUGUUGCACCUUGUAUGUAAUUAGAUGAGUGGAGAGUGAAAGGUAACAUGCCACGUGACAAAAAAUAUUGUGGCUUUAUAUAGGUUUAUAUAUAUAUAUAUAUAGAGAGAGAGAGAGAGAGAGAGAGAGAGAGAGAGAGAGAGAGAGUCCGGCUACUAUACUCUUAUCGAUCGCCUUUGUACUCAUAACUUGUUUUCGAUUAUAGAGCUUCCGAAUCGACGAUCCAUACCAUUAAACAUUAUUUAGAGCAUUUAAAACUUCCAGAAAUCAAAUUUUAUAAUUUUUCGAUAUUAUUUACCUUACGAUCAAAGGCUCACAAAAUUGACAAUUUUUAAUGGCCGGUAUGAGAUAUUUACUAGUUUAACGGUGAAAAAGAAUCGGAAUAUGUUGAAUUUUUGAUAGAAAAUUCUAUUCACUACCUAAAUAAAGAUCAAUAACUCCGAUCUUAAAUUGAAGGAUCCGAUCAUCCAUUUUUAGGAUAUCAUUCGAUUUUAACCGUUCAUUUUAUACUCGCUUGAUGGACUUUAUAAUGAUUUUAAAAAAGUACAAAAUUUAUUUUCUAUAAGUGUCAAAUAUUCUAGAUCAUGUUUAAUAGUGUGGAUCGUCGAUUCGAAAACCCCAAUAUUGAAAACAACUUAUGAGUACGAAGGCGAUCGUACUCAUAAGAGUAUAGUAGCCGGACUCUCUCUCUAUAUAUAUAUAUAUUUAAAAAGAUUUAAAUAUUUUUUAAAAUUUUUUAAUUUAGUUUUUUUAUUUUUUUAAAUUUAUUUUUUAAUGAACAGGGUUAGAGAGAUAUGUAUACCUCGUUUGCUUUUUGACCUCUCCCACUUAACGGAUUUUGUGCUGAUUCAAACUAUUUGAUCAAAUCCACUUUGAAUUUGACUUAGAAACUUUUAAUGAAUUUUAAUGCACGGUGCAAUAUUGGAUAAGCGUUAUCAUAUUCCAAGAACACCUCUAUUACAAAUCUACGUAACGCUUACAUGCAAUUUAAAUAUACAUAAAGAAUAAUAAAAAGAGAUUAAUUAACUGGUUUAAUUUGUUGAAUUUAACAUCACUUUCCUUUUCUUAUAAAAAUGUAUGUGUCUUACGUCUUAUAAAAGUCUUUGUAACAUUGUUCCUAUCUACUUAGACGUGUCAGAUAACAAUUAUAUAUAUAAAAAUAAACCAGAGUAAUUAAUAUUUUUAAAAAUAAACUCAACUAUAGACCAAUUUGAAACAAAAUUCUCACGUUUUAAUUUAUUUUAAUUUAAAUUAUUCUUUUAGUUAAAUUCACAAUAAAUUGGUAAAUCACUCAGCGAAUUCAUCAAACUUUUUUAGCUGUGGAAAUCACUUGCUUCGUCUCAAUUGGUUACUGGAUAAAUAAGUCAAAUUCGUUAAUUAAUAUGAAAGAAAAAAAAUCUAUACUAUAUAUAAAAGCGUACAGAAAUGACAGACGGAAUAAAAAAGAAAUAAAAAAUAUUUCAUACGAAAGGUUAUGAUUAAUUUGUUAAAAAGAAAUAUAAAAAAAAAUCAUUCAUAUCCAUCUAUAAAUUUAAUUCUAUAAGCGGUUAUGAUUAAUUUGAUAAAAAUAUUUCAAAUAACAAAGAACGGCUGUAAUCAAUCUGUUAAAAAAUAUUAUUUCUUUCCAUCUAUUUUAUAUUAAAAUUUAAAUUUGAGUUUAAAUCGUGAAAAAAAUUUAAUUUUUGAUAUGAAAUUUGACUUAAUAGUUAAAAAAUUUUAAUUAUAUAAUGGAUCAAAAUUAAAUUUUAAAUUUUGAAAUAGAAAUCAAUUAAAUUUUGAUGUUUUUAGUUUAAAGCACAUACUUAAAUGUUAGAUUCAUAAUAAAUUUAAAAGUAUAUAAAAAUAUUUAAUAUAUAUAGAAAAGAACAAUAUAAAACAUUGCAAAUAUUUUUUAAUAAAAUAUAACAUAUAAAUUUAUAAAUUAUAGUUUUUAUUGUAAAUUUUUAAAUAAAUAUAAUGUACAAAUUUAUAUUAAUUUAAACUAACUUAAAAUAAUUAUUACGUGUUUUUGCAUGUAUACUCAACUAAGGCUUCGUUUGGGAUUGCGGAGAGAUUGCGUUACGUGCGGUGAGAAACGACGAUGGAAAAAUACCAUGUUUGUUUCCGUAUGUAAUAUUGCGUUCCGCAUAUCGCGAUGAGUAAGUACGAUAUAUUUUCUGCAGUGCUUUUUCUGUUACGAUAUAUUUUCUGCAGUCCCAACGGAGAACGCUGAAGCAUAUCCAUACAUACUUUUUCCUCAACUCCAUUUUAUCUAAUAGCGUUAGAUAGAUCUCAAUACCAAACUAACGCUAUUAGAUAAAAUUGAGUUGAGGAAAAAGCAUAUAUGGAUAUUCUUCUGCGAUCACCAGUGGGACAGCAGAAAAUAUAUCGUAACCGACUCAUCGGAUAUGCGGAAUGCAAUAUUACGUACAAAAAUAAACGAGGUAUUUUUACAACGUAUUUUUUUACCGUACGUAACGUAAUUUUUUUAUAAUUCCAAACGAAGCCUAAUGCUUAUCAAAAUGACUUUUUUCAGUUUUGGAGUAAGAGUCGAUUUAGGAUUCUUCCCACAUUUUUAGGUCAUAUUUUAAUGCAACGGCUGUUGUCAAAAGCGCUUCUCCUUCACGUGAGCUGGAAUGCCGCGUGGGCACCCCAGGCCCAGAUAUGUUGGAAAGGACGCGGAUUUUCUGCAACUGAUCUGUAUUCGUAAAUGUCGGCGUAAUCGAUCAUACUCAAUUUAGAAAAAAAAAAAGAAGUUAAAGUAAAAAUAUAAAUAGAUAAUUAUUUAUAUAUUUUUUAAAAUUUUGAAAAUAUUUUAUUUAUUUAUUUAUUUUUUAAUAUAACUUUCAUAUGUUCCUUCCUUAUUUUAAAAUAUCUCUACAGUUAUUAUCCGUUAAGUUAACUUGAGUUAAAUGUGGGUUAAAUAUCUAUUAGAGCUAAAAAAAAUUAAAAUGCCUCUUUUGUUUUUAACUUAAGGGUAAAUAAGGAAAGUCGGUGAUGGUAGAAUGGUAUGUAUGUUUGAAAUGGUAAAAUAGUAAUUUCAUACAGAUCACAAGUAUUGCUAACACGUUAUUAACAGAAUUUAACUCUAGAUAUGUAUUUGAAAUAGGUUGGAACGUAAAAAUGAAAAUUUCAAUAUUAGCCUUCUAAGAGAAAUAAAUCAGAAAGUCGGAAACUUUUUAAGAGUAUAUAAACAAUUGCCCCAAAUAUAAAAUAUUCUAAUAGCUUAAGUUUGUGGGUUUGGAUCUAAAUCUCUUAAUAAUUUUUCACAUAUAUAUAUAUAUAUAUAAUAUAGAAUUGAGCUUCUAUACCUUUAAAAAUAGUAAAUUAUUAGCGCUUGCAGGUUUUAGGAUUCAGUGAGUGGUUGAUUGAAUAGUAUACUGUAACGACUGAAAAUGGUUAAAAAAAUAAAUCUAACGGUGAAAAACUUACAAACACCAAAUACUUGAUGUUUUUAAAAAUAUCACAGCGGAACUCUCUCUCUCUCUCUCUCUCACCAUAUAUAGAGUUUUCUGUUGGAUGUAAAAUUUUAAAAUUGUACUGUAUAUUAUUUUAUUUGGUAUCAAAUAUGAUGUUCUAAGUUUGAAUCCGGCCGUCUGGCUCCUACUCCUAACUCCACGCAUACAUAAUUUUUAAGAUUUUGAAAAAUAACGAUAAUUUUUGCAUUAUUUUCAUAUUUCUUGAGUACUAUCAAGCAUAUUUCGUCGAAUAAUUAUAAUUUUGCAACAUCUAUAACAGGGUUAGAGGGCUUGCUUGGAAUUGCGGAAAAAUUACUUUACGAAUGAUGAAAAAGAACGAGAAAAAAAAGACUAUUUGUUUCUGCACAUAAUGUUACGUUCCGCAUAUCGCAAUAAAAAUAUCUUUUUUACAGUCCCACUAGAAAACACAAAAUCAUAUCUCGAUAUCUCCUGUUCCAACUUUUUUUAUCAAUUAAUAUUAGAUCGAUGAACAUCGAUACAAAACGAAAACAGUUGUUGGAUGGGAGGAGUGUAUUCCAAUUUUUUUUUUUCGCACGUGUAGCAUUUAAAAAAUAGCCCCCCCUCUUUUUGUUUUCUUUAAUUUUUUAAAUUUUUAAUUUCUUUAUUAUCACUAAUUUUCAAAUGCAUUAUACCAGAUUACCGGGAAAAGAACAAAGCGACACGUCAGCGUCGUAGAAGCCGAUCCAAAUUUUAUGACUUGUUUCAAUUAUUAUUAUUACUUCAUAAAUUCCUCGCCACGUAACUCAAUUGGUUUGUUCCAAUUUUUGAUUUGAUAGGAUUAGACCAAAUAACUAAAAGAAAUUAUUACAUGCACCCGGCGUAUUUCUCCAUCUGUGCACCACCCAUUUACUGGCGAUUACAAAUAACCAAGUCUCAAUAUAUUAUGGAUAUUCAGAUAAAUUUUACCGCACAACAUAAUAUAGUAGCAGCUUCUUUUUAUCACUUAAAUCGAAACAUCGGAUUCUGAAACAGAGAUAUAUAACUCGCGUUUUAGUGGAUGGUAUAAAUUGAAGUAUGGGAUGAAAUGAAUAGAUAGUGCACGAAUAUAUGAAUGCAUGGCGCGCAAUAAUUUUUAUGAAGUAGAGGGGGGAGGGGGUUUGGACUUGGUGUUUCUCUUUAGGUGGAUUCAGUGUAGGUGAUUCUCUCUCUCUUUCUCUCUCUCUCUCUCUCUUUCUUUCUUUAUAUAAGCCUCCAAAUUUGCGUGUUUCUCUCGAACCUCUCCGUUCUCUCGCGCUUCUCUCUCUCUCUCUCUCUCUCUCUCUCUCCAUUGUUGGUUGGUCACAAAAGAUAAGAGCUUUAAGGUAUUUUCUCUCUCCUCUUCUCUCCAUUUUAUUAAAAAGUAUGAGCUUUUUCUUACAAAUGAUGGACAAUACGUAAACCGCGCACAGUUUUUUGAUUUUUCAUAUCGUAUUGAUCCUUUUAUGAGAUAUAUAUUAUUUCUUUUGUUUUCCCUUUCAUUAAUACGGUUUUAUUUAUUGAUUUUGGAUUAGUUUUUUGUUUUUUUUUGGGCGAUAUUUCGGAGUAUGUGCAUAUAAGAAAGUAAAUAUAUACUUGGCGAUUAAAAAAGGAAUAAACAGUUGUGAAUUAUUCAUGAUAAGUUUUGUUUAAUUUAAUCGAUGAGAAUGUUCGGAAGUAAUUAAUAAUCUAGGUAAGAAGAUUCUAAUCUAAAGGUUUUCUUCUUUUUUUUUUUUUUUUUUUUUUUUUUUUUUUUAAUAUCAUCCCCGCACCAUAAUGUAAAAGUAAUCACCUUUACAUGCUUUUGGUGCCAUAGAAUACGCCCCUAUUUUUUUUGCUUUUGUACUAUAUAUGUUCACGUACUUAAUACUAAGUUAAUUACUAAGAGAGUUUUAAGUUAUUAACAAAUUAAUUAGAAGAUACUAUAAAGAGAAAAGGAAGUGAAAUUAGAGAUUCAUUGUAUAUAUGUAUGAAACAUGCAAUUAUUUGUGGCCCCAACUUAGAAAAAAAAAAGAGGUUUUUCUAAGUAUUAACUUUAUAGCCAUUUGUGCAAAAAUUCAUAACAUUUAAUAGCCACCUAUGUAGUUGUUAUCAACCCCACAUUUUUGAAUGAAUCAUUAGAACAACAAUUGGAUUCACACACACACACACACACACACACACACAAAUCACCUCUAACUUUGCGGCAAUUUCGGUAUUUUUUCUUCUUUUUUUUCUUUCUUUGCUAAUGUUGUUGGAUUCAAAUUACAAUGCUCACUCUAAUGCUUUUCUCUUUUUAUGUGGUUUGAAAAUUUGCACCAUGACAGGAUGCAUUGCUAGCGUCGGCGCGAAUCGCAGCUUCGAGCAAACGAAAUUUGAAUUCGCAGUUGCUGUUUAAGGGAGUUUCAAGUGAAAGGGAGAAGAUGGGUUUCUUCUCCCUGUUUCUUGUGGCAUCCAUGCCAAUUGUGCAGGUCCUGCUCAUAGGCCUGCUGGGAGCUUUUCUUGCUUCUGGUUACAGCAACAUUCUCACCGUCGGCGCGCGCAAGGACAUGAACAAGGUGACUUUUUUUUUGUAAAUUUUGUUCGCGGGUUUGUUCUAAAUCUUUCUCAAUAUUUCUCUUCUUUAUACCUGGUUCAAUCAAUAUAUAUAUAUACCAGGUUGUUUUCGCGGUGUUCACGCCGUCUCUCAUGUUCGCGAACCUGGCAAAGACAGUGACUCUCCAGGAUGCUAUCUCUUGGUAAUUUUCUAAGAUCAAAACAUGAAUUUCUUCUGUUUUUGGGUCAAUUUUUUGAUUUUGUUUGUCUCUUUUUAAGGUGGUUUAUGCCUGUCAACAUUGGGAUCAUAUUCUUAGUUGGUGGGCUUCUUGGAUGGGUGGCAGUGAAGAUCUUGAGACCACCCCAACAUCUCGGAGGCCUCGUCAUCGCUUCGUGCUCCGCAGGUAAAACAUUUUAGGAAAGAUUACGAUUUCGAUUACGUUUCUCGGAGUUUUAAUUUCGAUAAUUUAGUUCUUAUGAUAUGGCGCAGGAAACCUCGGCAAUCUACUGCUGAUAAUUGUUCCUGCUGUUUGUGAUGAGGAUGGGAAUCCAUUUGGUGGCGAGAGGAGCAUCUGCAGCGCCCGCGGGCUCUCUUACGCGUCUUUCUCGAUGGCGGUAAAAGCAGCUUUUUAAUCCAAAUUUUCUUUUGUGUUUUACAUGAUGUUAGUUGUGACAUUUGAAGCUGUAAAAUUUACUGAAAUGUUGUGCUUUUCAAUACUAUUAAUUUGCAGCUUGGGGGCUUCUACAUAUGGACACAUACAUAUAGUCUCAUGAAGAGAGCUGGAAAAUUGUAUCACAGGAACCUGCUAAGAAAUAAUUUGGUUCAAGAGAUUGAACACAAGGAUUCGUUCGCGAACGGGGAUUCGGGCAAGGCGGAGAACGGAGAGGCUGCGGUCGAUCAGGAGGCUUUGAUUCCGACAGCAGAGAAACCCGACGACGAAAGCCAACAAAACCAACUUGUAAGCUGCAGUUACUGAAAGUUUCAGAAUCUCAAAUUUUUGAAAGAAUUUGAAAGGCUGAUCAAAAAAUUCAGCCUCUAAGUUAUUCAUCCCUGAUUAGAUUUGAAACUUAAAUAAUUUUACAAUAGUUAUUGAAAGAUAAAGUUACCAUGUUAGCAAAUUGCAAGUAUGAUGCUGAUCUUACAGAAGAAUUUAACCUUUAUCUGAGCUUUUUUUGGAUGUUAUAAUGCAGGCGUUGCCGCUGUUGUCUAGUGACAGUAGUUUUAUGGGCAGUAAGAAGAACUUCUGGGACAAGCUCAAAGAAGGCACCCACCAGAUUGUUGAGGAAUUACUCGCACCGCCAACUGUUUCUGCUGUAUGUUCUUAUUGUAUAAGUUACAGUAAAAAUCGACUUUUUCUACCAAUGUAUAUGCCAAUUGUACUAACUUAGCUGCUAUAAAAACAAAACUUUUCAAAUCAGAUCAUAGGUUUCAUUGUUGGCGCAACGCCAUGGUUGAAGUCUCUAUUUAUCGGAGAUGCAGCUCCUCUUCGAGUUAUACAAGACUCCGUAAAACUAUUAGGGUAAUUUUUCGAUGUGGAUUGUUACAUUCUCUGUGUUUUUUUUUUUUUUUUUUUUUUUUUUCUGUUUAAGUUAUGGAAAAUAAUUUGUUCUUAUGAUUUCUCCCCCUAAAUGCAGGGAUGGCACAAUACCUUGCAUUACCCUCAUUCUAGGAGGAAACCUUACACAAGGUUAGAAACUCCUGCAACUUGUACACACAAUGUCACUUAAAAUUGUUUCUGAUCUAAGAUUUCAAUUAUGAUCAGGGCUUCGAAAGUCGGUCAUAAGGCCGGUGGAGAUCGCAGCCAUAAUCCUCGUGCGGUAUCUGAUCCUCCCAGUAAUCGGGGUCGCCGUGGUGAAAGCGGCUUACGAAAUCGGAUUCCUACCGCAAGACCCGCUGUAUCGAUACGUGCUGAUGAUACAGUUCACUCUCCCCCCUGCAAUGAACAUUGGUAAGAGAAGCCUCAUCUGAACACUCUCACUUUAAAUUCUGCAAUUUAUCAUCAGUUUUGAAUCUGAGGAUCAUGAUCUUAAAACUCUGACGACACAAUAUGGUGCAGGAACAAUGGCUCAGUUGUAUGAUGUUGGUCAAGAGGAGUGCUCUGUGAUCUUCCUAUGGACUUAUUUGGUCGCGGGGGUCGCGCUCACUGCUUGGUCGACCGUGUUCAUGUGGAUAUUGUCGUAGAAUUAUCGAUCGAAUCGGUCGCGCCGAUUACUAUUUUACUCCCUACAUACAUAUACAUUUUUUGCAUUGUUGUGAUUUGGAAUGUCAAAAGAAGGGCAAAAAAGUGGAAGCAUAUUACUUGCAUGGUAGAGGCCCUGUAGUAAUAUGUAAAAUGGCCUGGAAUUGCUAAGAGUUUAUUAGGAUAUUAGUUGUGCAGCAAUGGUUAUACAAGUUUAUAAUUCUUUAUGUAUCUUAGAAAUUUUGUCUUUUAUAUAUAUAUAUAUAUGUUAUAUGUUGUUCAUAUUGUAUUUUGUUCUCAAAGACAUGAACAUGCAAAUUCAUAGAGAGUAUUUCAUAAGCUCAUGUAUUUCUUAUUUUACCUUUGAGGGAAAGCAGGAGGAAACUAAAUAUCAAAACAACAAACCAUGCACGAUAAUCUAAAGUUUCGUUUGGAAUUGCAGAAAAAUUACAUUACGUAUGGUACAAAUACGACGAAAAAUAUACAUCAUUUGUCUUGUAAAUAAUAAUAUAACACUGCACUUAUAACAAUGAGUCAGUUAGAAUACAUGCAUAUGUAAGUAAGAUAACGUGUAGUAUCAGGCGAGCCCAAAGAAUUAAUGUAAAAUAAGAGGUCCGUCCCUUUCUCUUUUUUUUUUGAGAGUGAUGCUACAUUUCAUUUUAGUUACUCGCCAAAAAUUGCACGGAACUCCUUUUUCUUUUUCUUUUUCUUUCUUUUUUUUUUUUCAGUUGCCCAGACCAUAUCAAAGGAGAUACUUAGAUACAUUGGAACUUCGAUUUUUCUACGUAAAUUCUAUAUGAUGGAGUAUACAACAGUUUAUCCUCCCUGCGCAUUUAAAUAGAAAAUUUUUGUUCACAAAAGUUGAAAAACUAACAAUACCAUCUCUCAAUAUAUAUACAUAGAGAGAUACAGAGAUCUCUCAAUAUAUAUACAUAGAGAGAGAUACAGAGAGAGAGAGAGAGAGAGAGAGAGUUGAGCUGUAAUACUUUUAAAAGCACGGGAGUUCAAUAGACUUGUGAUUUUUUUUUUUUUUUUUUUUUUCUGUUGGAUCGUCUCAAAAUCCGCACAGUACUAGCAAAAGAGAUUUAAUGGGACCAACAGUGAUGCAAACAUUUAAAAAAAAAAAAAACCCUACAAAUCAUCUCCAAGUGCAAGAGACAUUGCGACGAAAGCUCCGCGAGCUCUUAGAACACUCAUAGUGACACAACAACAACAGCCGCCGAUGUAGAAAGCCUCGAAAAAGAUCACUGUCACUGAAUCUAUCAAACUUACAAUCUCAUCCGAGGAAUCUCAAUCUAAAGCAGAUAUGUGGGACGCAACAAUGCUACAACUUAAAAAAUAUUGUGGAGAAUAAGUAAGAGCAACCUCAUUACAGAUUAUAUGUUAGUGACCAGUUAGGAUAAGCAAGAUUAGUUAAGAUAAUUGAGUUACAGAACAUAACUUUUGGGUUUUAAAUAAGCUUGAGAAACUAAUUUGCUUAAGUUAUAUGACCAGGAUAAGUGAGUACAACACCAACAAUCACUUUUACUCACCAUGGUUUUGGAUUCUCCAGAAGGAAACACUUCGCCGAAUCACAAAGCAGUGAUAACCAUCAUUUUUCUCUCCACACCAUUUGGAUUCCUAAUUACUUCUCCAAUACAAACUACCCCUGGUGCAACAAUAUAGGCUUUUGGCUUAGAUCCAACCACAAAAGAUAUUACAAGUUCAAUGACUCAAAAAAUAACAAGCCCCAUGAAUAAACUCUUCCAAGUUUGUGAAUGCUCUACAAUGAGAAGUUAACAUACCCAGCAAGCCAAAACAGUCUCAAGAAAAAGGAAGGGUGCAAUUUCCAGACACUAGCAAUUUCCAAAGCAGACCAAUAGAAGUUUCAAAAUGAAAAGUGAUACAUUUUCUCAAUAUCAAAACAAAGUGAUAAAAGGUUUUAAGCGCGAAUUAAAGCCUUUUUUUUAAAAAAAAAAAAGCCGUUUCAUGUUUCUCCAAGGUAAUGAUUUAAUCUGAGAGAUCUUUUACGGUUAACACUUCACCAGAUGCAGGAAGAUACCUGGAAAAAUAAGUAAUCCUAAAUUGAAUGAAUCAAAGAGCUUCUAAUUCCAAGCAUCAAAGCUACUGACAACUGGGGAAGAUAAGAUGGUCGUCACAACAGGUUUGCAAGGAUUAAAGCAUUGACUCGAGAAAAUUAUUGGAAGCAAAUACAACAAGAACAAUCAGACCACUAGUUCCUCUCCUGCCACUCAUGCUAAUUUCCGCAAACAUCUCUUAAAACAGUAACGAGUAGAUAAGACAAUCAUUGCAACCAAAGUCCAACAAGAACAAAAUCAAUAAACAAAGUUCAGUUAUCCUAGAAAUAAUUGAACUAGCUCUGAGAUCUUCAGCUUGGUUGAUCUCUCUCUGAUAGGAUAAAAAAGCCAAACAGUUUAAACAAGUAGUGAGCCUCUGUAGCAGCACGAAGGAGGACAAAGAGUGCGCUGCGCUACUACUGAAAUGUCUCCACCAGCAUCUGCAUAUCUUUUCUGGUGAAAACAUGGAGCAAUUCCAGCACAGGUUGUAGAGACUACUAGUGUGGUCAUUUAAAAUCUGCAAGUAAAAGCCAAAAGUGCUUUACGCACAGCAGAAACCACGAUAUGGCACAGCAAUUGCCCAGAGAAGUAAAGAAAUGUAAUCAUCACAAGAAGCGUUUAUGAUGAUAUCACAGAUGAUCUCCAUAACAGCCAAGAUGAGAUCUGAGUUAUCGAUUGUCAUAAACCUUCCACAGUUGAUUUUCGAAUCAAGGAAAAUAGAUAUAAUAUCGAUUGUCAUAAACCUUCCACAGUUGAUUUUCGAAUCAAGGAAAAUAGAUAUAAUUUGAAUGAACAGCCAGCAUAAAUUGUGAAAGAAAAAACGAUGAUGUGGUUUGAAGCAUUCAUCCAUGCAAAGAUUCACUAUUUUAAGGAACUUAAAAAGCUUCCCGUGUAUAAAAAAAAGGGGUUCGCUUAGCCUAGCAACAUUAUUCGCAACAGAAGAAGCAUUGAACAUAAUAGUGAGUAUGUUGACAGUCAGAUCUGAUGUUGAUGGACAAUUUUCAGAAGUCACGGCUCAUAUUUCUACAAUUGUGUAUCAAAUUUAUUCUCAACCAAAAUGGCCCAAUACGAAAAAUAACAGUUCUUAUGUAGCAUCCCAGAUGCUCCUCACACGCUUACUCAUCAAAAGUUCAGCAAGAAUAAGCAAAACAUUUAUUUGCUAAAUUCUUCAGAAAAGCACUAGAUUUUCUGCAUUGAUAUCGACUACAGAGGCAAUGGAGAGGUUCUUCUGUGUAAGAAUUCAGCAGUUCAUAAGAAACUUAAUAUUCAUGAUUUAUGAUAAUUGUUCACUGUAAUAUAGUCAAACGAAGUUAGUGAUCUGCCGAGUUACAUUCCCUCUAUUCCUAUUUAAACCAUACAAGAUAGUGAGUUGUAUAUAUACACACACUUUAUAGGCAACUUGGAUUGUUAUAAGCUCAUAUUAGAAUCUCCAAGUGAAAUUCUCAAAUGUAGACAUGCACAUAAGUUGCGAGUAUCAUAAACAUUAUCAAUCGUGAGUAGCAAAACAUUAGACGAUUCUCGCAUAAGUUCACGCAAAAGAGAACAAUUAUUAGCAUAGAAAAGCACACAGCAGGAGAUUAAGAUUAUGAGUAACGAGAACGAAAGACAGAAAGAUGGAAAGCGAAAAAGGAAGCACCUUUUACUCCACACUGCUGCUGAUUACUCUCGCCCCGACCCUGUCGAGGCUCGCGACCGUCGCGGUCGCAUUCAAUCCCCCUUCCCUUGAGAAGGCCUCCACCAUCCUCUCCCCGAUCUCCCGCCCCUUCUCCUCGCCGUCGAUCACCGCCACGGCCGUGGGGCCGGCGCCGCUGAUCGUGCAGCCGAAGGCCCCCGCCGCCACCGCCGCGGCCUUCACCGCGGCCAUCCCGGGGAUCAGCGGCGCCCGGCGCGGCUCCACGAUCGCGUCCGAGGACAUCGCGGCGCCCAGGGCCCGGGCGUCGCCCCGCGCCACGGCAGCGACGAGCGCCGCGGCCUGGCUCGCGUUGCGCACGUGCUCCUUCAUGGAGACGCCGGCGGGGAGCGCGGCGCGCAUCUUCUUCGUGGGCGCCUCGAACGCCGGGCUCGCGAGGACGAAGAAGAGGUCGCGGCCCGAGGGGAACUCGAGGGGGACGAGGUCGAGGGGGUCGUAGGAGCGGAUGAGGACGAAGCCGCCGAGGAUGGCGGGGCCGACGUUGUCGGCGUGGUAGCCGCUGACCUUGGCCUCGGACUCGAGCCCGGCGAGGACGAGGUCGGCGGGGGAGAGGGGCCCGCCGAACAGGGCGUUGACGGCGACGGCCGCGGCGGCGGCGGAGGCGGCGGAGGAGCCGAGGCCGCUGCCGAGGGGGAGGCCCUUGACGAGGCGGAGGGAGAGCCCGACGGAGCGGACGCCGAGCAUGCGCAUGGCGGCGGCGGCGGCGAUCCCGGCGCAGUUGCGGAGGGGGUCGCGGGUGAGCCUGGAGGGGCCGGAGGAGGAGGAGGAGGAGGAGGAGGAGAUGGAGGAGAUGGAGAGGGUCCCGGGGGGGACGGAGGGGUCGACGGAGACGGUGACGGUGUCGCCGAGGGCGUCGACGGCGACGCCGAGGAAGUCGAAGCCGGGGCCGAGGUUGGCGACGGUGGCGGGGGCGAAGGAUGUGAGGGAGCGGAAAAGGGGGGAUGGCUCCGACUCGGCGGCGACGGAGGAGGCGGCGGAGGUGGUGGCUAGGGUUUUGGGGAACGAGGGUNACGUUCAUUCACCUACGGUGCACCUGACCUGGACAGAGAAAAAAAGUAAACUCCUCAGCAAAUGUUAGCUGAGGUGCCAAAAAAAUAAAAAAAUAAAAAAAACAAUCGCGAGAGCAGAGAUGCGAAGCGAGCUUUACCGCCGACGCCGCCCCUGCCGAAUAUUCUGGAGCGGCAAUGGAAGGUUAGUGUCGGCAGGUGCAGCGCGGCUAGGGGUGGUGGAGGGCACGAAGAGGUGGCAGGCUAAGAGGAGGAGAAGAGGCAGCAGCAGCAGCAGCAGCAGCAGCAGCAGGGGCUUUGGGAGCAAGGGGUUUUGGGAUCGGUAAAUUGGUGCAUUAAAUUAAAAGGGUAAAUUUCAAAUACCAUUCAGAUGCUUUUAUACUUUCUCACUUUAAUAUUCUUGAUUUAAAAUGUAUCAAUUUAGUAUUUUAGAGUUUUAUUUUUAUUUUUUUAUUAUUAAUUUUAUUAUUUUUUUAUUAAAUCAGUGACAAAAUUAAAACUAAAGAGUACGAAAGUGAAUAUUCGAUAAACCUGGGUGGGGUAUCUGAAGUUUUUUUUAUAAAAUUUAACAAACUAUUAAUGAAAAAGUUAACGAAAAGAUUAAAAUAAAAUCACAGAACACUAAUCUGAUAUAUUUUAAACCACAAAGUACUAAAGUGAGAAGUGGAAAACUACCGGAGUUGUUUUUGAAGUUUAUCCUAAAUUAAACUAGCGUAGACUCCCGCAGAAUGCGAUGGAUAAAAAUUUACAAAAAAAAAAAAAAAAAAAAACUAUAAGAUGUGCAUAAAAAAAAUUACCAUUUACCAAUGCAAAAUUAUUUUUUUUUUAUCAUUUACCAAUUCAAAAACAAAAAAGAAGAGGAGAUGAAGUGAGAUUUAUAUAUAGUGAAAAAAUUAAUAUUAAUAUCUCAACUAAUAAAGAAUGACAAUUUUAUAAAUUUCAAGAGUUUAGAGAGCCAAACAAAAUAAUUAAAACUUUAGAGAGACUACAAAAAUUUCUCUCUAAAUUAAAUUUUUAUAAAAUAUUUUAAAAGGUUAUGAUAGCUUUCUACUUAAAUUAUCCUUGUAAAAUACAAAAAGUAUGUAAUUAAAAUUUUGAUUAUCAAAAACCUAUUCAAAGUUAAGUGUUUUUUUUAUCUAAUAAAAUUUUAUUUGUAAAAAUCAAUAAUUCAUAUGGAAGAAAAUUUACAAAUGAACAUAUUUAUAAAAAGCCAGUUAUAAAAUAGAGGGGCACUUUUUGAACUUAUUUUUUUAGGGAACUCUAAUAACUCUAUUUUUGCAGUGUUUCUCACUUUUUUUUAUUAGAUUUUAAAAUUCUUUUAAGUAUUUUUUAUUUUUACUUUGUAAAAUUGCUUUGAAAAAAUAUAAUAUAACAUGCACUAAAGAAUAUAGUAUAAAAAUAGAGUUUUUUUUUGUGCACUUACAUUUGUUUUUAUCCUUCUGUAGGAAUUAACCUAAAAAAAUCAAUAAUAAAUUAGAGAGAAAUAAUUUAAAAGUUAAAAUAAAUACUUUAUAAUUGAACUCAUAAGAUAAAAUUAGUAGAGAACAAAAAUCAAAAGAAAAAAAUAACAAUUGCUUUACUAAUUAACAAUAGAAACUGCUGAAUUAAAAGUAGAAAAUAAAAAAAAAAAAGAAAAUGCAGUUUGAGAGAGAAAGAGAAAGUAUUUAUUUUAACUUUUAAAUUACAGGAUUAAAAAAUUUUAGGAAUUAUGAGAUAAGAUGCAAUAAUUUUAAGAAGGUGAGAGAUCUCAUAAAUAAGAGUUAUUAAAUAAGGUGUAGCAUUAAAUUAAAUUAAAAAUUUGUUAGGAAGAAUUUAAUGAGAAAAGAUUUUGUAAUUUGAAAAGGCAUGUUAACUUUAUAAGAAAAAAAUAUGGUAAUUUAGUGAGUAAUUGCCAACCCAUUGAACUUCUAAAGUUAAUUUAUAAAUAAAAAAUAACUAAUUAGGAAGAAUUUAAUGAGAAAAGAUUCUAUAAUUUGAAAAGGCGUGAUAACUUUAUAAGAAAAAAUAUGGUAAUUUAGUGAGUAAUUGCCAACCCAUUGAACUUUCAAAAUUAAUUUAUAGAAGAUAAUUAUUAACCAUUUGAGGAGUUCAAUAGUCUUGUACAUUGUAAUUAUAAUACUAUAUUAAAUAGUAACUUUUGCUUAAGAAAUAUUAAUUAGAGAGAUAGUAGAUAGACCCCAAAAAAAAUUCAAGAAAAAUAAGGUUAGAAAAAAAAAAUCAAAAAAUUGAGGUUACGCCACGUCACCUCUUGAUAUUGGGGAUUAAUAGAGAGGUAUAGAUAGAUAGAUAAAUUAAAUUAAAAAUUAAUUAGGAAGAAUUUAAUGAGAAAAGAUUCUAUAAUUUGAAAAGGCAUGUUAACUUUACAAGAAAAUUUAUGAUAAUUUAGUGAGUAAUUGUCAACCCAUUGAACUUCCAAAAUUAAUUUAGUGACCAUUUGAGAAGUUCAAGUACAUUGAGGUUAUGCUACGUUACCUCUAGAUAUUGGGGAUUAAUAGAGAGUUAUAAGAUUAUUAUUAUAUAAUUUCUCGCAUUUCAGAUAAUUAGAUCUGGAACGGGCUAAAUUUCGGGCCAGAUCCACGUCUGAACCAAAUUGACCGGGUCGGACUUUUUUUAUUAAGUUUAUAAUAUGUAGAUUAAGAUUUGUCAAGUUGGUAACUUAUCUAAAUUUCAAUUUUGUUUUUCAAACCUUAAUUUAUUAUAAUUUUUUGCUCGAAUUUUCUAAAUUAUUGGUAUGAUACUAUUGUGGUUAACGACGUGAUAACAACUACAAUGUCAGAUCAAAUUUUACGAGGAACUCAAUUACAACAUUUCAAAAAGUUGAGCCAAGAAAUUACAACAAUUUAAAGUUUGAGAGCCCAAUGUGUAAUCUAGCAUUUAUCAUUCAAUGUUAAACAUCGCUGGAAACCCAACCCUUUCACUGAGAAGCACUAUAAAACUAAACAAUACAUUUGAAUUUACAAUGCAAGUUUGAAAGGCUUGGAACUAAACAAUUUAUCCAAAACAUUUUGUAAUACAAAGCAGUAUUGUGAAAAUGAACAACAAAGGACAAACUUUGGCAUAAGAGAAUCACUCUAUUGCCUAUUGCCCUAUUUUCGCGACCUCAACCAACUCAGAAGCCACAUUUCCUUUCGUGAAAAUAUCACCAAUUAUACGCCGAUCGGUCGAUGAUGAUGCAUACCAAGCUAUAGUUUCUCAACUCCUCCAAGCAGAAGAGAACUCCAAAUCAGUGUCCUCUUCCCACCAUGUAGCAUUCUGCAUUUAUCGAUACACAUUCUACAAUUUAAUGGCUAAAGAAGAAUGUAUAAAUUAAUAUGCACGGCGUGCUUCAGAGAAUUAUAGUGGUAUCAGUACAAAUUAAAGUUGUUAACCGAGUACUAGUCAUUACACAAAAAGGGGUUACUACAGUUGACUUGCAUCAUUAAGGGUAAAUUGCACGAGCAAUCCGAGAACCGACCUGAUAUUGCAACUUGGCCCUUGCAAUUUUCAUUUAAAUACAUUAGUAAUGGAAGUGGAAAAAUGGAAACUUUUAAUAGAGAAUUGCCAUUCAGGGACUAAAGUGCAAUAUAUAUGAAAGUCCAGGUCCUAAGGCGAUAUGAUACACUAAGCUGACUCUUAACUCUACAAACCAAGUUAAAUUGAUGAUACAAGACGCAAUAUGUUUAUCAUUCAACUCAAACAAGGAGAGAAAGAUUUAUGAGAAGUUUUGAACCUUGUAUCCCCUUCUGAGAAAUUCCAAUGAGCUCCCUCGUUCUUCUUGCAAUCCCAGAACCCUUAAAAGUUCUUCUUUAGUCUAAACAGGGGGAAAAAAAAAAAAUCAGUACAAGAACAUUAGAUUGGUUUAUAUGAUUCAAGUAAAUUAUUACCUCUCCCAAUGUAAAUCUAGCUGCGCUUUCUGCAACACAAGCAUAGGAACCAUCAGCCUGUUUAAGCAUGACUUGCCAAGGCCCUGCACAGUACAGUUAUAAAAUGAAUGUAUGUAUAUAUUAAUUUGUCAUUUAUUUGUUGAGGAAGUUGCAAGUCAUAGGAAAAUAAGAAAGCAUGCCUCAGAGAGAGAGAGAGAGAGAGAGAGAGAGAGAGAUUAAAAUUUUAACAAAAAAACCUCAUGAACUAAGUAUACUUAUGUAGUUUGAAAACUUCCCACGCCAUUUAAUUGAUGUAGACCAAUUCUUAAGAAGAAAAUUACGUCCUAGAAUAAUUGUUUGCAAAACCGAAGGUUCUGGUCAACACCGAGUUUGGAGUAGAUACAAUUACGUCCUAGUAUAAUUGUUUGCAAAACCCAAGGUUCUGGUCAACACUGAGUUUGGAGUAGAUACAUCACACGUUUACACCCAAGGACACAAUCAUUUGCUUUACUAUUUUAUAAGGAAAGCAAUAGAGUUUGGUGUCUAUCGAAGGACUAUUAUAAUAAAAUAUUUCAGGAAGAGAAAUUUAGAGACUAAAAUUAACCACGCAGAAGCACUUGCAUGAUAAUAAGGAGAUUAUACUGUAUGCUAUGCAUGUCAAGUUCUUACCUGGGAACCGACGGAAUAGAGCACCACUAUAGUUCACAAUGAAGGGUGCUACUGGAACUGUCUUAAACACAAGGAAAAUAAAGAUUUAAUUGACAUUAUGAUAAGAAUAAGUAAAUAAAAAAAAGCUAGAGAUACCUUGGAGUACUCUCUUGUUCGAAUGUAGAAUACAGGGAUAAACUGAGAAAGAAAGCGGUAAUGCAAAUCUUUGGUGGGAAAUCCUAGUAGGCCCAAGUCAGAGCUGCAAAAUUGAAUUUUUAUCCCCACAAUAAGGUCAGAAUCAUGAAAAUACGAAGCACAUUGUGACAAUUUGGUCAGGAAGAAUAAAUAAGACAAACCGUAAGGUGUCUAGUUCGAGGUUAAAAAGAAGAGCUGGGACAGAUGAAGCAAAAUUGUCCUGCACAAGAAAAGGCCAACAAAAAUUGCUUUAGUAACAGAAAUUAAAUUUUUAAAGAACAGAAUUACAAGAACAUUAACUAAUCUUUCUAUGCCCAAGAAAAUACUCCCUCAGAAGUACCUUUCUCUUCUCUCUCUCGUUUUUUUUUUCUUUUUUUUUUUGGUNGGGGGGGGCGGGGUUGGGGGUUGGCGGGGGGAAUCAACUACCCUUAGCGGAUACAAAGAUUUCAGACGCGCUGCUUAACUGUAGUUGUGUUAAAAGAGACCGAAGCAACUAUUUUUAAGGAUCCUUUUGUCCACAAACAUGAAUUUUCAUGCAAACCAUAAUAUGACAACAUCCACAUGUACUAUAAAGUAGCUUCUUCAACAUGUUUCAAUUCUUGUCCAUAUUAUGGUCUAAGAAUUGCAAUGAUGACAGCACAAGAGAAGAUUGUAUUGUAUGCAAUAAUUUUCCACACAUAAAUACAUAAUAGAAAAGUUUUACUCACUUCUAGGAACCUACCACAUACUUCUCUAUAGUAGAAAGAUCGCGUGUACUACAAUUGAUGAAGAUAUACAAUGAUGGUGGUUCAUCAGACUUCCAACGAUCUGCAUUUAUUAAGUAUGGAUAAAUCUUAAUUAGUCUAGUCACACCUAGCAAAAGGUCUCAGAUCCUAAUUCUUAACUUUGUUAUUCUUGCUAAAUAUCUUUUUUAGUAAAUAAUGAAAUGAGAGGUGCUACCACAUUUUUUUUCUUCUUCUUGUCAUACAAGAAAGGUACAUAUAGUGUUUGCAAAUAGUACAAACAAUAAAAAGACAAUGGGAAACCAUAACAAAGUGCCUUUGAAAAUAUAGAAAAAGGAGAAAAAGAAAACGUAAACAAUGUCAAAUAAGCACAUAGGUUUUUCACAUGAGAUGAAAACUGACCUUCAUUUUCAUCUGCAAAAUCAAAAUCCAACGUUCUUCUCACAGAUUUGAAGAAAUUACUCACAGGCCCGCCAGGUAUAUCAUCCAAAGAAGCAAUAGUUACACCACCAAUCUAAAAUAAAAAAGAUAUCUUUAAAAUAUGAAAAUUUCUAUUGCGAUACUGUAUCAAAAAUGGAAAAAAAACAUUUAACUACUGUAUCAUAUGUAACUGAAAAGAAAAUAAUCAAAAACUGAUAAUCCACUGUCACAUCAAUUGAACAUGAUGAUUGUUACUCUGAAAGGAAAUCAUACUGUUUCAAGAGCUGUCCGAAAUAACUGAGAAGCCCGGCGCUUUUCUGGCUGAUCAGGAAACACCUAAAUCUCAAUCAACAAAAGAAUAAAAAUGCCAACGAGGACGAGUUACUUAUCAUUAUGAAAUAUAGUAAUAUUCAGUUAUUUGUGAUAAUUAUGUUUAUGUCACAUGACUAAAAGAAUCAUAAUCUGUUGUGAUGUUCAUCGGCCAUUUACUUUUUCAUGCUUUUACAUAAGGCAACAAUAGUUAUUUUUGUCCAUACAAAAUAAAAAUAAAAAGCUUUCCACUUACAAUGCAAGACCUGAUUCCUUUCAUCUCUUGCAAGUUCCUUACUAUUGCAAGGGCCAGCUGGAUAUUAGCAUCAAUAAAUUCAUCUGAAGAACCCUGCAGUAAAUAGGAAGCAUAAAAAAUCGAAUUCUACAGUUGUUUUUUAUUUUAUGCCUAUAUUUUUACCAAGCAUAAUAUGAAGCUUUCACUGAUUAAUUUCAUCAAUGAUAUGAGAGAGCAUCUCUUAACAAUGUUAAGUACUCAUAAUAAAAAACUUCUUGAUUAGAAGAAUUUGUUCAAGUUAAUUUACCUUAAGAAUAUUGAAGGUUGUAACUAGGUAUUUUCGAGAUUACAAGCAAUGGAGGUAACCAGUGUGUAGCAUUAAUGAAUAAAAAUUAUUCAACUGGGAAACAUCCAAGAUGUUACACAUUGGGUUUUUGAACAUAUGCGUCCAUGCUACAAUGUCUACCUUGUGAGAUUACCACCAUAGCGAGUGCCAAGUGAAGAGAAAAUCCAUUUACACUAGUAAAAUUUAACAUUAGUUAAUUGUGGUUUCAGCCAUCAGAUUCCCAACAUCUAUUUAGCUAAAUAAACAUUGAUACUAAAGAUCAUGAAUAAAUUAUAAAGAAUCAUAGGUACCUUGUAAGAAGAUAUAUUGCUUGGUAAGGGCCUGCAUACACAUCCAAUUAAAACAUGAAAACGGAGAAAAAAAUUUAAAAAGCAAAGAUCAGAAGAAAUAAAAAUGACAAAAAUCUCGAGAAAAAACAUUCUCUGCUGUGAAAAAGCAUUAAAAAUAAACAAAAAUCCAGAUUGAAGGAAAGAUAGAACCUUUAAUCAAUUAGCAUUAAAAGAAAAGCUUCUACUCCAUGUAUAGCUCCAUUAUAGUUCAAACAAAUCAAAGAACGAUUCACAGAAUUUUCUUCUAUAAACCAAUCAUUAAGCUAAAGGUCAAUCCAAGCAACAUUUACAAGGCGAAAGAGAACUGAAACUAACAAUAAAUUGAUCCAAAUGCUGUCAAAACGCAAAAAAAAAAAAAAAGGAGAAAAGGAUAGAGAUGAGGAAUUAGGGCUAAUCAAAGUAUAGCCCCAUUAUAGUUCAAAUCAAAGUACGAUUCACAAAUAUUUUCUUCUAUAAACCAAUCAUUAAGCUUAAAGGCCAAUCCAAGCAACAUUUACAAGGUGAAAGAGAACCGAAACUAAUAAUAAAUUGCUCCAAAUGCAAACAAAACGCAAAAAGUUAGGAGAAAUGGAUAGAGAUGAGGAAUUAGGGCUAACGGGAACUCGAUCUCGAGACGCGUCUUCCCAUCGUCGAGGGCGUAGACGAGGGACCGCGCCGCGUCGGCGACGAGGACCUCGUACGACCGGGGCUUGUACACGGCAACCCCGGCCCUGGGGUCGAUCCCGAAGGAGGCGCCAUCUGAGCGCUUCGCGAGUGGCUUCAACGGCGGAGCGCGGAGCGGGCGCGAGGGACGGGGAGGAGAAGGGCGGAGGAGCGGGGAUCGGUGGAUAUGGAGGAGGAGAGGUGGAGUGCGAAGGAGGUGAGCGGAGGAGCGAGAGGAGGAUGGGGGAGCGGAGGAGAAGGACGAGGAGGAGAGCGAAGAGGACGCCAUUGGCGAAGGAGAGAAGAGGACGAGGGUAAAGGGAUAAGCGUUCGACGAAGAUGAACCGUUGGAAAGGGCAUGUGCGACGGAGCGGGAAAAUGGGCGGUCCGGUUCGACCGGGUUCAGUUUCCUCCGGUCCGGUCCGGUCCGGUCUAUUGGGUUAGCAACUUAGCAUUUCUCUUUCUCAUCAAAUUUCACCUCAUACCACCCUACACAAUGCUGAGAACAAAAAGAGUCACAAAUGAGGAUCUUUGGCAAGCACAUAUUCCCUAGACAGAUACUGCUUUUGGGUUCUGGGUAUCUUACAUUCCUCUCCAUUCAUACUCUACUAUGUUGUGCUACACCUUAAUCAUAUUCAGAGUACUCUUUUAUCUUCAAACAAUCCUCUUAUUCUUCGCCGUUUGUCGUCGAAAACACGCAGGCUCGUCUUCUUAGGAGCCACCACAUACGACGUGCACUGCUCCAUCAAGAACAACGAGAAUCCCCCCACGAAGGAACAAAUUGAAGCGCUCGAGGAUUACCUCCGAUCCAAGAGGCCCCCUCCCCCUCCCGCCUGAAUCAUUAGCCAUGUAAAGUCCUCUACUUGAUGUCGAAUCUUUUCGCUAUCUGCUUAAAUAAGUGUUUUUACGUGUGAAUGUGAAUGCUCAUGACAAGUGUUUGAUGAUAUUCCUCAGUGAACCUCCUUACUGAUCUGGAGCUCACAUUGUUGUAUUGUGGUCUAGUAGUUAUAAUUUUUAGGAUAAUAGCAUUCAAUCUACAAAUGAUUGGGCAUAUCAUUGUAGGUAUCUAAUCAUUCUCCGUCUACCAACUGCUGCAAGAUUCUCGAGUAAACAAAAGAGCUUCGCAAUGGAUGAUGUCUAAGCAUCCGAACAGACAUUAAGAGUUUAAAAUCCAUUUGAACAAUCUAAAUGGCUAUUUGAGAUAGGGAACUUAGCGAUGAAGUUUUACAAAAUGGCAUGUACCUUGGAAUAGUGUUUCGCUGCCUUGCGAAGAAGUUAAUAUCUGAAUUUGAAUAGGAGAGAAACUUUUCCUCGAUUAGCUUCCCUGUAAUUUAUCUUGAAACUAAGCAAACCAUACCAAAGUUUCAUAAUUACCUUAUCCCACACAAAUCGUUUAUGUGUAACUAUUCUAUAUCCUUACGAAAAAACCAAUCAAGGGUUUCUGGGGUCGAAUCCAGAGAAAAGGCGGUUCUAAGAAAAUUCUUACAAAAAGGAUUAAAUCCAGAUAUAACGGACUGAGUUGAUCAUUAUCAUGAUCAACUGAGCCUCCAAAUAACACCCAACUGAGGCUCUGAAUACUUCCUAAUUUUAUGUAGAAAUGAUCAAGUUAUACAUCGUUACAUGGAUAUAUAGAGAGGAACUAAAUGUGAGAAAUAAAUCAUGUGAUGUAGCGGUGAUUUAGCACAAGAUCGCAUACCAAAAAAGUUAACGAAGUCAUAUUCCCUGUGGACCAUGUUACACUUGUUCCUUCUCACUCACUAGUUAUAAUACCCCUACUAAGCUACCGGAUUUGCUCAAUUCCACUACUAUAUCUUGUCACCUAUCCAUUGAGAAACAAAGCUUUAUACGUCACUGAUACAUGGCUGUACAGUGGAAAUGGAAAUUCUCUGCUCUAACUCAGGCUUUUCGAUAAGCUCGACUCCUUCACAGAAUAAGGUGGAAUUAGUGACCUCCCAUAUGCUAUAGGUAGCGCCAUUAACUUCUUUGCUUUGCUAACAUACGCCCUCUUUGUGAAGUUAUUGUAGUCAUUUGCCUCAAUCUCGUCAAGGAUCUGCCGAUAAAGUAAGAGAGAAGCCCACACCUGCAACACAGCAUGCAGUAGCCCUGAAAGAUUAGCUCAUAAAACUUAUUAGAUUUUGCUAACUAAGAAUCUGUGGCAUAAUAUGAUCGGCACGGUGAUCCUUUAUAUUAUCUAAGAAUUCUUUGGAGAAAACCAUGAAUUCAUCUCAUUCUUUAGAAAGCAUGCUUCACAACUUCAUCUGUUACUGUCACUUUUGCUCUCCUUUAUCUCUAUAGCUUCUUCCAAUGAUUAGCUUGCUAUGAUUUCCGCUGUUCCUUUCAAAUCUCUGGACAUUCUAAUUUUAUCAAGCUUUCAUACUAGAAUUAUUCUUUUAUUCUCGUGCGUGUGUGGCACUUGUUUAGAGCUUCUUUAUCUAACCUGCAAAUUAGAUUACUGAUGUAGAUUUUCUAAGUGCAUUAGACCAUAUCUGUGUUAACAGACAAUAAGAAUUAAAAAUAACUCACGAAUGUGGCGUUAUUAUGUCAUAUUCAAUGAAAUUGUAAAAACUGAAUUUUCUAUUAGAUUUAGGUGAAGCUCUACUGUCUAUGAAAAUGCAUAACGGUAUCAAUCUAAGAUAAAAGAAAAGAGUAUUGAGACUUACUGGCCACCUACUAGCUUGACUGAGCUCAGUAACGCCUUUCUCUGCUUCUUGGAAGAACAUCCUGGCUCUCUCAAUUUGGCUUCUCAUGAAGCCCCUCCAUUUAUCGUUCACCCUUCCAUUGAAGAUAUCCUCGUCCGAAAGCCCAUACUGUGCGAGCUCGUCUUGCGGCAGAUAGAUCCUACCUCUUCUCGCACUGAGAAAUCAAAGUUUAGGGACUCGAUUGCCAGAAAAAGAAAUCCUCGAGGAACUUUACAUAAAGGAGAUGCCUUAUGAAGUUUUUCACUUACUCUUCUCCAACAUCCCUUAAUAUGUUGGUGAGUUGAUUCGCGAUGCCUAACGCCAGAGCUGCGUUGUAGACGCUCUCUGUCGUAGCUUUAGACUCUGGUGCGAUACCCAUCACAGGAACACUCACUAGCCCCACCGUUCCUGCUACGUAAUAGCAGUAGAGAUAGAGCUCGUCAAAAUUUUUGUAUCUUGACUUCUUAAGGUCCAUUCGCAUCCCUUGGAUCAUGUCCUUGAAUGGCUGAGAUUGCAACGGAAACCAAUCUAUGAAUGAAAAAGCUAUGAACAAAGAUGAAAGGCCCCAUGCUAUAAGUCGUCUGGAAACAGAUCCUUGAUGUUUAUUCAUUUUGGAUUUGAAACCUUCAAAGAUUUAGAACUUAAAAGGAAUGAUCUGUAAUUAUCUUUCUUGCUGUAACCUUUAAAUUCUGAUGCAACCUGAAGGAAUUUUCUGAAAUUGAACAACACAAGUUUAAAGUUCAAAUCCAACAAAAAAUACUUCACAGAUCUGUUUUCAAAUGACAGAUGGUUAGGCCAGUGUCUAUACAUUUUUGCCGAAGUUAUGAGUACUCUUAAGAUUAGGAAAUGUGCCUGAAUAUCAACAGGGAACUUCACAACAGUAUCUGAGAGAGCAGCAUCGAGCAUGUCGUAAGGACGGCCUGUGAACAGAUCCUCCAAGCGCGACUCCCAUCGAUCGAGAGCUGAGGGCGUGAUGUGAGAGGCAUUAGGCCCGUCAACAAGUUCAUCUGUUCUCCUGCACCACACUGGAUACAUGAUCCACUUUAGAUCUUCGAAAUUACAAUUGAAGAACCUUUUUCUAAAGGUAUCAAACUAUUGGAUUGGAUGCUAGUAUGUUACCACAAAAUCAUGAUUAAGAAAUGCGGCACAUGAAUUUGAUCAUCACAUGGAAGGUACCAAAAUUAUCUGACACGUGAUUUAUGCGGUGAAGUAUUAAAGUGACUUGAUGAUCUUUUUAAGUUUCUUGUGUAAUAAGUUAUAUAUUGAUUUUAUGCUUAGGACAAUUAUUGUUUAACCAUUAGACAUAAACAAAGUUGAGUGUGUGUCUUCAGCUAUGGGAAAUCAAUCAUUAAACAAAACUAGACAAACAGCGACUUCGUUUUAAAAUUGAUGGUUUCUGCAGAAAAAUGUAUCAGAAACUAAGUAAAAUAUUAAAAUCAAAGAGAGAGUAAUUAAUCUAUCAAGUAUUGUGGUAAUGUACCGUAAAUCGCCCAAAUUGCUUGCCGCCUUUCAUGGGUCAUAAGAAGUGUUCCUGAAAUAAGAUAAAUUCUAGCUCAAUUAUACAUUCUAAAUUUAAAUUUCUCUAUUAAGGUGAAUAACUAUAAGUUGGACUUUGAACUAACCCAAGUAGAAGGUCUUAGCAUACUCUGCGCAUACUUCCCCGCACCGAUCAUAGGCUUCCUUCAAUACAUUCGUCGAGUCAGAAAUGGACAACUCCAGUUUCACAUCGAGCUCGGGCCUCAAUCCCCUAUUCACCAACGCGGCCUGUUUGAGCACCACAUCAUACACCUUCUGCUCCGAGGAAGUUGCGACCUCUCCUACCUGGUUUGCGACUAAACUCGAAUAUACCUGGAAAUUUCGCCUAUCCUCUAGCUUGAAACCCCCAGAGGAGUGCUUGGAGUGAGCAUGCAUUGAGCACAAAUUCCAUUUAGGCUUCUUUCUGUGAAUCUUCUUAUUGUAUCUUGGACCAUAAAGUUUAGCGGAAUUAUCCGACAGAUAAAAACCUUCUCGAAUCGCCUCUGAGAGUCCGAGGACAGUAGCCAUUGAAGGAGGAUUCAGGAGCACGAAAACGACCUUCGAGCUUCUCGAGGGAUCUUCUAAUUGGAUUCAGAAAGGCUUGUAACAGCAAAUUGAAUCCUGGUUUGUGUGGGAUCACUGCAAGAUUCCAAAUUAUUCUUCAAUGAAUCUCAUCAUGAUAAACUUCUUUUACCCAUGUAACAACAUAGUCAUUAUUGAAAAUUUAGCACUGUACACAGCAGAAGUAUAGAGAAAGCAACAUACUGGAAAAAGAAGACCCAAAAUGAGAACAAAUCAAAGUUUAAAGAGAUGCUCUCUUUUCAUAAUUUAACAACUAAUAGAACCCAAAUAUAGGUAUAUAUUAUAUUUUAAAGGUGCACCCAUGUACUGAAGAUGGGUGGGGAGGAUAUGUUUCAGGGGCACUAACCUCUUACCAUUUCUCCAUCAUUCUGUGAAACAUGUAAGCAACAGCAAAAACUCCAAAGCUCUUCAAUACAUUAAUGUCACAAAGAGAGAGAGAGAGAGAGAGAGAGAGAGAGAGAGAGAGAGAGAGAGGGAGCUCUUGAAGACAAAAACUUAGCCUUCCUGACUCUCUCUCCUCUGCUCUCUGAGUGCUCUUUCUGCUCUCUCCUUGGUGGGUGGUGAGAAAGAAGUUAUUGCCUGCACUAAGUAUCCUACAUCUCAUUAAUCAUACUCAGUAUUUGAUAAUUAAUAGGUUAAAAUAAAGGAAAAACUUCAAAUACCUCCUUGGGGUUUCACUCUUUUUCACUUUAGUAUCCUGUGGUUUAAAGUGUAUUAAGUUAGUAUCAUGUGGUUUCGCACUUUCUCACUUUAGUAUCCUAUGAUUUAAAGUGUAUCAAGUUCGCACUUUCUCACUUUAGUACCAUGUGGUUUCAUAUUUCAUUAAGAGAAAAAUAAAAUCACAGGGUAUUAACUUGAUACAAAAAUAAAACCACAGAGUACUAACUUGAUACAUUUUAAACCACAGGGUACUAAAGUGAGAAAGUACGAAACCACAGGGUACUAACUUGAUACACUUUGACCCACAGAGUACUAAAAUGAAAAAAUACGAAACCACAGGAGGGUUUGGAAGUUUUUCCUAAAAUAAAACUACUGCCACUGAGUAGAUCAGUUAGUUAAUGCCCUCAACACUGAGAGUUAGGUUUUCGGCUCAAAUCUUAGCAAGUUCGUGUAUUGUGCAUGCAUAUGCGUAGGCAUGCGACCAUCUUCAAAGAGUCUUAAAAUUAAAGAUUCGACCCCCCCCCCCCAUGUGAGCUAGAAUUUGGAGCUCAUGUCUCUGAAUUUGUAUUAUAGUAUCUUAGAGGUUUCUAUGGAAUAAGAAAAGGAAUUUAAAAUCAAUUAAAUUAGUUCUUUUAAUUAUUCUUGGAUUAAAUAAAAUUUCUCAGACAAUUUAGGAAAGGGAUGAAAUAGUCUAUUCGUUAAAAAAAAAUUUCAGUAGGUGAGGAUGUUUCAAAACUAAAUUACGCGAAUAAUUUAAAAAAAACACAGGAAGUAAUUUGCAAUAUCAGGAUAAUACAGGAACUAUACCUACAUUUUACUUUAGGAAAAUAAGUUGCCAAGUUAUUUAAUUAGUGUUUUAGGAGUGCGGUGCAUGGUGCACCGGGCGCAUGCAAUAAUAAGGGAAAAGAGGGGCCGGGGAGGCUUGAGGAUUGAGAUGUGUGGACACGUGGAGGGGCCGGGUCCAAUUGGGAUGGAGAUAGGGUUAUCACAUGGAGACAACCAAUACCGUUUCGCCACGUGGCAGGAGAAUCCGAGUGGGGGGCGGUGGCGGGUGUCGACGUGUCACUGGGGAGGAGCGUGGGUCCCACGAAAAGGUCCCCAAUUCCAGUGCCUCACACGGGCCGUGGUGGGGACCGCAUAAUGCGACCGCACCUCUCUCUCUCUUUCUCACCCCACAAAACACGGUAAGGCUAAUAUAAUAAUUUUAUAUUAAAAUUUGUACUUUUUAAACAAAAUUAUUUUAACAAGUUAUAAAGUAUGUGAUUAGACUAGUUGAGUGUACUUGUAAAUGUAUUUACACGUAACAAUUAUUUUAAUUUAUUUUAAAUUAAUAUAAAUUUGUAUAUUAUACUUUUUAAAAAUUUAUAAUAAAAAUUAUAUUUUAUAAAUUCAUACAUUAUAUUUUAUUAGAAAAUAUUUGUAAUAUUCCAUAUUUUUUAUAAAUAUAUUAAAUAUUUUUUAUAUAUUUUUCGAUUUCUAAUGAUCUAAAAUUUAAGUAUGUGUUUUAAAAAAAAAAACAUCAAAAUUUAAUUCAUAUUUAUUUUAAAAUUUAAAAUUUAGUUUUGAUCCACUAUAAUUAAAAUAUUUUAUAUUGUAUAAAUUCAUACGUUAUAUUUUGUCAAACUUUAAUUCAUGUUUAUUUCAAAAUUUAAAAUUUAAUUUUGAUCCACUAUAAUUAAUUUUUUUUAAUUAUUAACUCAAAUUUGAUAUCAAAAAUUAAAUUUAAUUCAUGAUUUUAAAUUCAAAUUUAAAUUUUAAUGUAAAACAGAUGAAUAGGAAUGUUAUUUUAUAACAGAUUGUCGUUCAUUUUUAUUUGAAAUAUUUUUAACAAAUUGAUCAUAACUGUUCGUGGGAUUAGAUUUAUAAAUGGAUAUAAAUGCUAUUUUUUGACAGAUUAAUCAUAACCGUUUGUUUGUUUUUAUUUGAGAUAUUUGUGACACAGCGGCCCCCUUUUUUCCUUUCUUUUUUUUAUUAUUUUUUUUGUUAUUAUUAUAAGAUGUUUUUGUUCGGCUUAUAGCAGGAUUCGAAGUCGAUAUUUAUUUAUUUAUUUAUUUAUUUUUGCAUGGAGUAUCUAUCUGAAACGAGAUGCAUCAGGAUUGUUGGGUGAUUGGCUGAUCCAACGGCCCUUAAUUAUUAGCAGUUCUCUUCUUAUUCGAUACGGUGCAAAAAUAAAAACUCUCAAACUGGUAACAAUGAAUUAUUUAUCAUUAAACUUGAUAAAAUCAUUAAUUCAUUUAAUAGAAGUAACUUAAGUAAUAAUCAUUAAAAGUUAAAAGAGAAGUGAAUAUAAAAAAUAAAGAUUAAAGAAAGUAGUUUUUUUUUUUUUUUUUAACUUAAUAGCUUGAGCUUUUACAGGGGAAAAAGUAUUUGUUUCUAUGUUAGGAAUGUGAAGUAAAGUAACACCUAAUUAUUCUAUAUCCCAUUAGCCCUUUAAUGGACUUCAAAACAUUAGUGGGAACAAAAAGUCAACUCCUAAUUCAUAGCUUGUUAUUUCUUUUUUGUGUUAUCCUAGAUUGCUUCUUCCUAGUGAUGGUUACAAUAAUGCAUGAUUGCAUAUAGGUGGCAAAAGAUAAGUGUAAAAAUACUAAAAUAGCAAUGCACUUUUAUUGUAUUAGAUUCUUUUUACCUGAGUGCUUGCCUUUUCUAGUAGCUACAUUAGUGUAUAGCACUUUUCCUACACUUAUCCACAAUAAGAAAUGACUACUUUUUUUAGGUAGUAGAAAUUAACCAUUUUGACUAACAUAAGUGCUUCUCCUUUUAUCUUUAGAUAAUUUUUCUUUUGCUUAGUUACUAAAUGUACUCAUUUCAUGUAGAAUUAUAUUAUUUCCUUUCGAAAUAUGUUAAAUGAGUAUGAUUCGAUACACAAAUAAUAAUAUUCGAACACGAAACUUCUUGUAGAUAGCAUUGUGGUGCAUGACACAAUAAUGUAAACAAAUAUUGCUGCAGCUUUAUUUUUUUACAUUGCAGCAACAUUACAAUCACAAACAACAUGUACAUGACACUGGUAAAGAAAAAAAAAAUGAAAAGAAAGAGAAAAGAUCAUCUCAACUAUUAUAAAUCAGCCAAUAAUCAAUCUUGAUGCAAUAAUCUCGGCUCAUGAAUCAGAUCCAAUCUCUUUUUUCUCUCCUUCAAGAUUCACCAACUGCUGCUUCGGGGAUUGGCAGCUUUGGCGUGAGAAAGUCCGUCAACACCCUGUAGAUCAUUUUACAGUUGUAAAAGAUUUUUUUCGUAUAUAUAUAUAUGCCCGUCAAAAUGCGCAUAUUUUCUUCUUUUGUAUUUUUUGGUCUCCUUACCUCUGCAGUCGCGACUGCGUGCGUCUGCAGCAGUGAAACAGUGAACUUCAGUUAGUUACGUCCCCUUGGUUUCUUCAGUAUAUUGCGAAAGAGUGGGCACACUUGCCUUUGCUUUGGCGGUACUUUUGGAGUGAUACUUAUCGUGCCGUUCUGGCUCACGGUUGGUGCCUGUGGUAUUUGAUCGCUCACCGUAGGCACUGUUUUCGCCUGAAAAAGUGUUACAGUUUAGUCACGGUGUUGAUUAAUUAUAUGUCAGCAUUACUUAAUGGAUGGUAAAUUGCUCGAAAACCCCACCAAUUUUCUGAACUGGAGGUUGUAGAACAGCUGGAGAUAGCGCUGCUUCGCGAACUUCUCCUCCUUGUUCAGCUGCCUCCAGAAGCCGUAAAUUGAUCCCAUAUUUAGCACUCUUGUGGCAUAGAUCUUCCAUGUAUAGCUGCGACCGUAAAUAAAUAGCUCGUCAGGAAACUUUUAGUCCUUCAAGUUCAACCCCAGCUUCAAUUAUGUCGUCAGAAUUUCAGAAUUUCAAAUUGUGCUGUUGUUUGAUUCGGAUAUAAAUUGCUUGGAUCGAGGGACUUAACCCAAAAUGAAAUGAUAGAAGUGGAUUCAUCGGUCUCAAUCUUUUACCAUUCAUAGAUACGUUGCAGCCCGGCAGUGGAAAUCUUGUUCCAGUAACUUGGAUCAUCCCUGCACUUAGUAAAGAAAUCGGCAAUCUUAUUGCUCGUCUCAUCCCCGUUGUACGGAUCGAUGUGGAAACCGGAGACCCCGUCCACGAUUAUCUCAGCUGGCCCUCCUUUGUUUGUUGCAAAUGUCGGGAGGCCGCAAUUCAUCGCUUCAAUCACGGUUAGCCCGAAUGCUUCAUACAAUGCAGGCUACGACGAAAAUUACACAAUUUAGUCCCUUUCAGUAGGUUAUUUGAUAAACAAUGAAAUACUAAAGACUUAGUGUUAGAAAAAAUUGAACUCCUAACCUGAACAAAUGCUCCCUUAGUGUCAGCGAUACAUCGGUACAGCUCGCCGUUCCGAGCCCGAUCAGUUUGCGCGGCUAUCCAGCGAAUCUGACCCGCUAGUUGGUACGUUUCGAUCAACGAGUGCAUCUUUUUUAUUUCCAUGAUCUCCUCCCUGUCCUUCGAUUUUUCCGGGUCCAAAAGGCCGGCCACCACCACAAGGUUCGCUAGGUCCCUUAGCCGCUUGUUCUUCCCGUACCAUUCUACCAAUCCGGAGAUGUUCUUCACAACGUCGAGCCGCGCCAUCGAGAAGAUGAUCGGCUUAUUCUUAUCUUCUAGGUACCCUCUGCAUGAAAUGCAGAUUUCGAUAUCUUUCAGGAGGGGUUUCUACAUUUAAAUCCUAAAGAGAUGUGCAAAUGAAGGAUAGUUUGAGGCCCUACAUGUGUUCGUCAUUGUCAACUUUGCUGUAUAAGAGCUCCUCGAUGGCGGGGUGGAAUUGCGUGAGGCGCUUCUGCUUCUGUGUGAAGGGGAAGUAGACCGUUUGAUCGGCUCCUGGAGAAGCUAUGUUGAACUUUGGGUCGAAAACGUUGAUGCCCGUCGCGUAGCGGCAUAGGCCUGGCAUUGUGAAUGCAUAGUGGCUCUCAUAUUGACCAACCUUAUCCUUACUGCAAGUUUCGAGAUAUCAAAUUAGUACCUAAGAAUAUGGUGGCUUUCCUAAGAAGCACAUAAAAAUUUGUUACUAGUAUUGACCUUCCGGCGAUUUCUUGGUAUGUGCUCGUGAUAAUGAAAUCGCUGGUAUUCAUCGCGAUCAUAUCGGCUGUGAAUUGGCACGAGAAAUGGUACUUGUGAUCCAAUUCCUUCCAAUGAACAUCAGAAUCUCCGUACUUGGUCUUUUCGAGAGCGUGCGCGAUUGUUCCCUUGUUGUUUAGAUUGUUUUAGAACACAAUUAGAUUGCGUUUAUAGCAGAAUAAAACAAUUUACUGGCGUAUAAAAAUUUGAACUACCUGAGUGAUUCCUAGUUUCGAUGAGAUUAGAGACGCGACCAAAUUUCCGUCGGUGUAAUUUCCGAUGAUCAAAUCCGGUUUCCCCUCCAAGUAAUCAAUAAUUUUAGCAGCAGCUUCCUGUAAUUCAUCAGAAAUCAUUUACUCAGAACAACAACACAUAUAUACCCCUAAAACUAUUUGUUUCUGCAUAUCCACUUUACAAUCUUAGUUUCCUGCAUAUAAAUAUCUGUGUUGUGUCGAAAAUGGUCCCUCUUUGAAAAUCCUUAUAUGAUAAAAUACUAAAGAUACUUCUGCGAUUUUACAGAGGUAUGCAUAUUCAGAAAGGUGAUUUUCGCAGAAAAGUCGCAUAAAAUUCAAACUGAGUCACACACAUACCUCCGCAUAUCUCUCGAGAUAGGGGUAGAUAUCAAAUCGCGAGACCCACUGGUUGAGAAUUCUGUUCUCCGUCCGAAACGGCACGCGGAGGAUGUGCGAGUGCUUCGUGUCGUGCACCGGCUCGAGCUCUUGGUCGCAUUUCGUCCCCUUGGCUUCCGGUAUCAGCCUUGUUAACUGUAUCAACAACAAAGCAUUAAGAUGUUAUUCUCUCCAUUUAUUCAAAACUUUAGUUUCAUAUUGUUUCAGUAAAAUAUCGAGGACGAAAACUUUACCACAAGAAUCUGGGGAGUUAUAUUCAGGCCCUGUUGUUUGAUUCUGAGGAGCAAUUCCUCUUCAAAGGCUUUUACUUGGUCUAGAAUGUAAACAACCUGUUCAGAGGGAAAAAGAAAAAUCAAAUUGCUUCAAAUGUACCCCUGCAGAAUUAUCUAUUUAUACAUAAAAUUCAUGUAAAGUUUGAAUUAUCAAGCAUGCCUCUUAAAAUUAUAAAUAUAUGGUUCUUGCAAUUUUUGUUGGAUUUUUAGUACCUGGCCGCCAGUGUCGGGCAAUCCGAGCACGUCUUCUUGCCCAAAGUAGCCGUGCACGGAGAAUACGACAAUAUUGAAAAUGUUAGGGACUCUACUGAAAAAUUUCUCCAUAUUUGCAGGGUCUGGUGCCUGAAGCACUUCUGAUAAGCAGUUCAGUGUCUCCUUAACUGUUUCUGCAUUAUCCCCCCAUCCUUUCUCCAAACCCCACUCCUGAAACCUGCCACCAAAAAUAUAUAUAAAAAAAAAAUUCAGUACAGUUUUCAUUUUAGUUGCUAAUUUUGAUGUCUUUUUUGUUGAUCAAAACCUUUGUUCGAAUCGCUGGAACGGUGUGUUCUUCGGAAGCCCGCUGACGAACACUUCUGACAGAAGCAGCACAGUUUGGAGCUUGUUUACGGUGUCGAUGGCAUUAUUUAUCAUCAGUUUCUGAGAAUGAAUUCACAAGAAGAAAAAAAAAAAAAAAGAGAGAGGAGUUUUUAGUUGUAAGAUUCUCCUGAACAAAUUGGAUAUGAUAAGUUAAUCCAAAUCAGUUACUUCUCCGCGGUGAUUGAGCGCGAGUAAGUAGUCCAGAAGCGGUUUCAUGCUCUCGGACUUGUCGCCCAGUUUCGAAGAUAAGAAUCUCGACACGAACUGCAUUCCAUUCCCUACGGAUGAAGGCAGUGCUAGGAGAGGGGUUGAUAGAUUGAAAGCCCCGAAGUCGAUUUCCAACGCAUUCUCGUCCUUCGCCCUGCGAUUUUCACAUGUUCACAAGUAUGAAUUUUCGACCUUUUUUUACAGAUCAAACCGCAAAGGUAAAAUCAUUUUAUCACCAUAACUUCAUACCAUUUCUCAUCAAACAAAGUUUCUUUGUACUUUAGGUACUCUGAUGGCGUGAUUCCCUCGACCGAGAGAUCAUUGGAAUGCACCUUAACAUACUCCCAGAUUCCGGGCUGAGGCCUCACUGCAAAGGCUACAUAUGGAGGAAGGACUACUGCUUCCUGUCACAUUAUAACAGAGUGUUUAAGUUUAAAUUUAAACUCAUACAACUUUUUUUUGUUUGAUGAAAAAUAGGUGAUAUGAGGAGUUUUGAGUUCUAAAACCUGUGUGGAGCUAAUGAUGUAGCCAAGAAAACCUUCCAUGAGCUUCGCUUUCUCGAGUUCGUUGUCCACCGAUUUGUCGAGCUCGUCCAUCAGAUGUUGGUUCUUCAUAUACCUCUUACCCUUCGAGACAUACCUGAAGUUCGAUAACAAAGAUGGGAAUGUGAAGCAAUGGAUUUUCUCGAAAAGCUUAGGCUAUCAGAGAACGUCAGAAAGUUAAAUGAGAGAAUCAUAGUAUGAACUAAAAAAACUAUUCAUUUUUCACUCAUGUCACAUGUCUCAUUCGUUGAUGUCAUACGAAACAAUCGUUUUUUCCAAUGACUCUUUAAUGAGGAUGUCCUACGUAGGACGCGCGCUAUAUUACAUAUAAUAUUUUCUUUUUUUUGUUUUUUUUUUCUUUUAAUGCAUGUUCAGUUUUGCGAUUGUAACAAAACACAACACCUGGAGAAGAUCUUCUUCAUCUGAUACCGGCUCUGCCGCAGCGCUUCGGGCAUGCUGUCUGCAAUGCUAUCCGAUCUGCUGAAGCUAAGCGCGGCGGCCAUGGUCGGAAUAAACUGAACUAAUUUGAUCUGGAAAUGCAGCAAUGCAAAAGGAAAAAGGGAAACUAUAUGUGACUUGGGUUUAUUGCACCACAGGAGAGGUAGGUAUUUAUAGGACAAGGAUAUGGUCAUGUUAGUUGGAAUAAGUGUGGGGAUAAGAGUUGGAAUAAGUGGUUUGGUGGGGAAAGGUAAUGUUGUGAGAGGAGAAAGCACAUUGCUUUGAGGAAGUUAUGCCAACACUGGAUAUUGUAAGGCAAGAAAGGCAUUCUCCUGCCUAAGACAGGAUUCCUUUUUGGGUUUUCAAAUCUAUAAUAUGUAUUACAAAUUUUUCUUUUUUUUUAAUCAUUUCUGUCGGAUCGCUGGUGCUAAUUAGCCAUUAAUUUCAAAUACUCGAACAGUUAGAAAUACACAACUAAUUCACUUAAGGCGUAUAAACACAACACCUAUGAAUUUUGAUUGUGAUUCGGCUCAACUAACCUUACACCGUUUCGAACAUGACUUGGCCCAACCUAACCUUCCGCCAUUUCGAACAUGACUCGGCCCAACCUGACCUCCCGCCACAGGACAAGAUGCUGGUUCUUUUAAGCCAACAAUUUAUUCUAGUGAUGUGAAAAAGAUUAAAAUUUUGUUCGUGAAAAAUUUCCACUCAGAAAACAUAGUUUUUCACUAUUUCUAUUUCUCAGAUAAAAAAUUUAAAAAAAAAUUAAAAUCUUGACAAAAAUGAAAUUUAAGAAAAUUAACAUUCCUCAAAACCAUAUAGAUAGAAUAUAUUUUUCCACUUAGAAAAAUAUUUUUUGGGAUAUUUUGCGGAAACCAAACAACCCCCCAUAUGUUAUCAUGCUCUCCUGUUAGUUGACCAUUUAAAUUUGAUCAAAAAUAUUAGUAUUCCUUUUUUAAAAAAAAGAAAGACGAAUUAAGAGGGAAAAAAAAGACUUAACAUUAACAAUUUAUUAGAUAAGAUUGAUGAGGGAGAUGAAGUUAAAAAAAUAAAAAUAAACUUCAAAUACCACCCCUGUGGUUUCGCACUUUCUUAUUUUAAUACCCUGUGGUUUAAAGUAUAUCAAAUUAGUGUCAUGUGGUUUCAUUUUUAUCUUUUUGUCAGCUUUUUCGUUUAUAUUUCGUUAAAUUAUAUAUAAAAAAAUUUCAGAUACCUUACCUAGGUUUAUCGAAUAUUUACUUUAGUACCCUUUAGUUUUAACUUUGUCACUGAUUUAAUAAAAAAAAUUAGUGAAAUCGAUAAUAAAAAGAUAAAAAUAAAAUCACAUAACACUAAAUUGAUAUACUUUAAACCACAGGAUACUAAAGUGAGAAAUUGUAAAACUGCAGGGUCAGUAUUUAAAGUUUUUCGAAAAAAAAAAAAAAAAAACCUACACUGUAGAGAAUAUAUGUGCAAACUUUUUUAAGUACGGAUGAGUCUAUAUAUAUAAUAAUAUAAACUUUGAAGUGAUGAAUACGUAAUUCUAAACCUAUGCAAAGAACAUAUAUAAUAUAUUAUUUCUUCAAUAACUCUUUUUAGCCUAUGAUUCUGCUUUUGUUCUCUUUUAAGCUUCUCCGAGAAGCAUUUCUCAGCUUUUUCCUUACUCUUUUUUUUGCUGUAGCUACUCCAUAGCUUUUCUUUCUCACUUGCUGGGUUAAUUUCCUUAACACUUGUAACCACAAAAAGGAAAAAGAAGCACUCAACAUCAAAGUCAACUAAGAUGAUCCAAACCCAACCUUCAAAUUCUAGUUUUAACUCAUAAACUUUGAUUUGGUUCCGCGUUUCCAAUCCAAUGCACUUUAUUUAUCUAAAAUCCGUCGAAAUAAAACAGUCGAACACGGUACGAAAUUACUAAACGAAGUCCAAAUCACGUCGAUAUGUAUGAAUCUGUUUAACUCGAAAAUAACAUAAUGAAAGUUUUGGAAUCUCUUCGUUGCUUAUCAUAGUUGAAUUUGGAUCUUUAUGUGGAUCACACAAGUUAGCCCUUUCCUAAAUGGAUCUAUCAAUUGAACUAUCCUUCUUUUUUUUUUUGCUUUUUUUUUUAAAAAAAAAAAGUUAAUUGAGCUAUCAUAGAUGGAUGAGUAAUGUUACGUGGGGUAAAAAAAAAAAAAAAAUGAAAAAUGAAGGGAGGACCCCUCAUUUUUUUUCACUUUUGAUUAAAACCCACUAACUUUUGAUGUUUUUUAGUUUGAGUUUUGAUACUUCGUUUAGUCAAAGGUUUUCAUUCAAUAAGUUAUUAAUAGUCAACUAAUCUUGUUUUAUUCGCUUAAUAUAAAUUAAAUUUAUUAAAUUUGGUAAAAUCACCAAUAAAUUUCAUAAAUUUCUCAAUUUAAAAGGCCUAUAGUUGAGGGGGUCUCCAUACUUUUUUACCUAUUAUAUGUUGAGUGGUCCCAAAGAAUUAGAAUGAUUAGAUUCUAAGUUACAUACACUUUUACAUCCAAUGUUCUUUUAAAAUAAUGGCUUUAUAUUUAGCCUUUUUCAAAAGGUUUGAGUUUGAUUUCCCAUAGUUCUAUUGGUAGUUAUAUAUGUAGUUUAUAGCAUCUGGGAAUGUGGAGAAAAAGUGCACAAUUUUUUAUAGUUUAAACUUUAUUGUUGAUUGGGUUUUUUCCAAAAGUUUUUUUGUCCCCAAUAAUUGAGCUUAUUUGGCACUAUUGAAGCUUCAUAUUUGAUAAUUGAAUAUUCCCAGUGAAUACCGACCGUCCUUCGAGCAAGUGACAAAGAGUUUGGUGGUUGGUACCCAAAGUUUCAAGUUCGAACAAAAUAUUCUCAGUGAAUGAAAUCCAACCAUUCCAAACCCCUACUUGGGUUCAUAUACAGUGUCUUUUGUUUCUUCAUUUUUCCUUUUUUUCUCAUACUAAUUUGUUACCGGUCAUCUACUAAAUGAAUGAAACGAAUAAUGUACUACUUUUUUCUCAAAAAAAUAAAAAAAAUUGUUACCUGGUCACAAGCCCCAGAUUUAACUUAAAUUUAGAAAUUUGUAUAGCUAGCUUUAGAAUAAUAUAUAAUAGAAACUUUGGGAGGUGAGACUCAGAGGGUUCGGAUUGUUUGGUUAAAUAUAAUUAUAAAGCCAGUAUAAUUCGAGAUGCAUGUGAUUAAAAAUGUAAUAGUUAUAAUUAUGUAUGUUUUAUUUGGUUUGAUGUAGCAGAAAACGUGCUGUACUUUGUUUGUUUGUUUGCGAUUAACAAUUGCAUUUAUAAAAUUUUAUCAUUUAUAUAUAUGUGAGAGUGAGAUAACCCUCUAUAGUAGAAUUUUUUUUCCUUAUGUAAGAUUACUAGGGAGAUAAAUUUAUCUUUGUCUAUUGUUAUUCUCUCCGACUCUACAAUUGAAACUGUAACUAACAAGGAGGCUCAAAUGCAUUUGUGGAAACUACGCCCACAAUUUCAACUGCUAUAUUUGAGCCUCCUAGCGUACAGUCCCAACUGUAGCAAUUGCAUUCAAAUGCAUGAACCAAAUAGCGAGUUUAGAUCUGCAUACAGUUAUAACUGCAGUUCAGUUAUAAUUACGUGCAACCAAAUAACCCUCACA
This 37744-nucleotide long non-coding RNA is filed under the name Ananas comosus (pineapple). Its description in RNAcentral is "long non-coding RNA (ACOM_LNC031954)". Lineage: Eukaryota; Viridiplantae; Streptophyta; Magnoliopsida; Poales; Bromeliaceae. The record is from RNAcentral.